RNAcentral lists this ribosomal RNA (496 nucleotides) under uncultured bacterium. RNAcentral describes it as "partial 16S ribosomal RNA". It matches the Rfam family "Bacterial small subunit ribosomal RNA", at positions 28 to 506 of the family's 1533-position model. The record is from RNAcentral.
GAUGAACGCUGGCGGCGUGCCUAAUACAUGCAAGUCGAGCGAACAGAUGAGGAGCUUGCUCCUCUGACGUUAGCGGCGGACGGGUGAGUAACACGUGGAUAACCUACCUAUAAGACUGGGAUAACUUCGGGAAACCGGAGCUAAUACCGGAUAAUAUAUUGAACCGCAUGGUUCAAUAGUGAAAGACGGUUUUGCUGUCACUUAUAGAUGGAUCCGCGCCGCAUUAGCUAGUUGGUAAGGUAACGGCUUACCAAGGCAACGAUGCGUAGCCGACCUGAGAGGGUGAUCGGCCACACUGGAACUGAGACACGGUCCAGACUCCUACGGGAGGCAGCAGUAGGGAAUCUUCCGCAAUGGGCGAAAGCCUGACGGAGCAACUCCGCGUGAGUGAUGAAGGUCUUCGGAUCGUAAAACUCUGUUAUUAGGGAAGAACAAAUGUGUAAGUAACUAUGCACGUCUUGACGGUACCUAAUCAGAAAGCCACGGCUAACUACGU